GCCUAAAGCGUCCGUAGCCGGCCGAACGGGUCCGUCGGGAAAUCCACCCGCUCAACGGGUGGGCGUCCGGCGGAAACCAGUCGGCUUGGGGCCGGAAGACCCGAGGGGUACGUCCGGGGUAGGAGUGAAAUCCUGUAAUCCCGGACGGACCGCCGAUGGCGAAAGCAUCUCGGGAAGACGGACCCGACGGUGAGGGACGAAAGCUAGGGUCUCGAACCGGAUUAGAUACCCGGGUAGUCCUAGCUGUAAACGAUGCUCGCUAGGUGUGGCACAGGCUACGAGCCUGUGCUGUGCCGUAGGGAAGCCGAGAAGCGAGCCGCCUGGGAAGUACGUCUGCAAGGAUGAAACUUAAAGGAAUUGGCGGGGGAGCACUACAACCGGAGGAGCCUGCGGUUUAAUUGGACUCAACGCCGGACAUCUCACCGGCACCGACAGUGUGCAGUGACGGUCAGUCUGAUGGGCUUACCUGAGCCACUGAGAGGAGGUGCAUGGCCGCCGUCAGCUCGUACCGUGAGGCGUCCUGUUAAGUCAGGCAACGAGCGAGACCCGGGUCCCUAAUUGCCAGCAGCAGCCUUGUGCUGGCUGGGUACAUUAGGGAGACUGCCGUGGCCAACACGGAGGAAGGAACGGGCAACGGUAGGUCAGUAUGCCCCGAAUGUGCCGGGCGACACGCGGGCUACAAUGGCCGGGACAGUGGGAUGCCACCCCGAGAGGGGGCGCUAAUCUCCUAACCCCGGUCGUAGUUCGGAUUGCGGGUUGAAACCCACCCGCAUGAAGCUGGAUUCGGUAGUAAUCGC
This 797-nucleotide ribosomal RNA is filed under the name uncultured archaeon. RNAcentral's name for it is "bacterial SSU rRNA". It matches the Rfam family "Archaeal small subunit ribosomal RNA", at positions 508 to 1301 of the family's 1478-position model. The record is from RNAcentral.